Neopelma chrysocephalum (saffron-crested tyrant-manakin) is the source of this 4339-nucleotide long non-coding RNA. RefSeq lists it as uncharacterized. Lineage: Eukaryota; Metazoa; Chordata; Aves; Passeriformes; Pipridae. The record is from RefSeq and is a predicted model, not a curated record. The transcript has 2 exons.
CACACACCGUCCCACACACACUGUCACACACACACUGUCACACACACACCGUCACACACACACACACACACACCCCACAUGCACCCCCUGUCCCCAGCGCACACACAGUGGCCACACCAGCAUUCCCUGCAGUAUUCCAGCUCCCCCUUCCUGCACACCCCAAGCCCACCAAACCCCCUGCUCAGCCCUGGCCAGGGCUGUCAGUGACCAAGGCACGCACAGGCUCGUGCCGGGGUCACAUGUCCCACGUGGGCUGUGACACAGUCUGGCGUUACCAACACAGACAUCUGCAAGGGCUCCUCGUGCCAGCACAGGCAAACAGCAAACCAUGAGCCCACCCAGGGCACUGAGCCCCCCAGAGCCCUGUGCUCACCAGGAGCCCUGAGCCCACUCAUAGCCUUGAUCCCCCCGUGUCCCUGUGCCCACUCGGGUCCCUGUGCCCAGCUCUCCAGGCAAUGUCCUUGUGGUGCAGCUGCUCCUUUGCAAACUCGCAGUAAAACAAACAAUUUUCCUGAUACUUUCCAACCUUUUGAUGGGAUUUUCAUUAAGGGAAGGAGUAGGGGAAAAAACCCUAUUGAAGGGAAGGAUUUUUCUUUAAGUGUUUGCAAUGGAUUCCCUUCCCCUGCUAGAUACAGCUCUGAUCCCACUUGUCCUGCUGAAACCCCUCAUGCAGGCGGCAACAGAAUCCAUGGAUUAAUGUCCUGGCUGGCAGCCAGCGAGAUGCUGCUCUUGGAGGCUCCCCCAGGCCGGAGGGCUGCCAGCCCAGUGCUCGUGUGAGCUACGGAUAUGUGCAAAUGAAACGGUAAAACAACCCUGCUCGUGCAUCCCUGUCUUCUGGAACGUCCCCAGGCCCUCAGUGAGCAGAUGGGUGGUGAUGCCCGAUCCCUGUCAUCAGCUCAGGAUGGCUCUGAGCAGUUGGAGCAGCUUCUUGGGAGAGCUUUGUGCUUAGCACAGGCUCGUGUCAGUGAAGGUUCUGUUGGUUAAUGAGUGUCCAGGUGUCCUUCUGCUGGGAGACCGGGAAGAAACCAAACCUAAUAGGGAUUUGCCCAUCCUGCUUGGCUGGUGGAAGCACCAUGUGAAUGAAAAGUGGUGGUGGGGAAUGGGAGGAUGAUACUGCCCCUGUGUCACCUGCUCCAGGUGUGUCACCUACCCUCAUGUGUCAUCUGCCCCAGGUGUGUCACCUGCCCUCAUGUGUCACCUGCCCCUCAUGUGUCACCUGCCCCAGGUGUGUCACUGUGUGUAUGCAGCUGCUCUGGCCGGCAGGUGCUGAGCAGGGCAGCAGGUCAUGGGCAGCACCCCCAGCCCAGGGCAGGGGGGCAGGUGGGGGCACUGGGGUCAUGUUCUUUCUCUCCUCAGCAUCACAGUUCCAACUUUUUCAUUCAGAUGUUGGGUUCUUAUAAAAUAGUUACCAGGAGAUGUGGGAGCCAGGACCUGCAGCACCUGUGUGUGUAUUUGCUGGGGGAAUGAACUCUGUUUCAACCUGGAUUUUCUCGGGCUGCUGCAGGAACUGGAGAAGAAAAGACCUAAGAAAUACCAAAGUCCAGCUCCUGCCAUGAAUCUUUGUGCUUUGUGUUUUCUUCUGCAUUUUCUUGUCCACUUUUGCUUUAAUAAAGCAAAGAGAACGUCACUGUGUUCACAGUCCCAUAGAAGCUGUCCCUGAGGCUCCUCUCAGGGUGGCCGAGCCCUGGAGCAGGGACCCCCUUGGUGUUGCAGCCGGGAGCCAACCACAUCCACGUUCCCCUGCAGACUCUCUGCUCUGCUCUGGCUCAUCUCAGAGGUGUGGGGGCCUUUGGGCCGGCUCAGUCCGGGUCAGAGCUCAGACCAUCAGCUCCUGCCCAAGGCAACAGAUGGAGGACGAGGGACACACACUUGGCAUCUCCCUGAGAGCAGCGUUGUACGUGGAUGGGCCCAAUUCCAUGACAGAGGGUGCAGAAUAAGGGAUGCUGCCUUUAGUGAAGGUGGGAGAGACUCUUCCUCAGUCCUGUAUCAUGCCAGAAGGUGGGAUCAGGUGGCAAUGGCAUGUGGCAUUCCCAAGGCAGAGCUGUGCCCUCCUGAGCCUGUCAGGUUCCUGCCAGCACCCCCUGCCCCAGCAGGGAGCUCGGCUCAGCAGGAGCAAGAGCUAGGGCAGUGACUCUCCACUCCGAGAGGCCAUGGAUGAGUGGAGAACUGGCAGCAUCCAUGUACUGUUGCCAUAAUGUUCAAGAGGCUCUUUGUGCUCAGCUGAGGGAACAGGGCCCUCAGUCACAGCCAUCGGGCUCAGCCAGGGAGGCAAACCCCACAGGACCACUCACUGCUCCGUGCCCUGCGGGGCCGGGGGGCCGUCACUGUGCUCUGGAGGGAUGUGAGGGGUACCCGAGGGGUCACCAGCCCCCCAGGCAGUCAGAGAGCUGCUGCCCUCACAGUCCUCAUGGAGUCCCUCCCCUUGCUGAGCUCUCACUUAGGAUGUUUCAAUAAUAUAUGCUAAAGAUAUCUGUAUCUAUGUAAAAUAAAGGUGUGGCCCAUUUUCUGUCACUAAAGAUAUUUAUUUAGUGUGAUGCUCUGAGAGAGUCCUCUCUAGUUGCACACUGAGGCACUGAAUGCUCUUCAAGAAAUGAGUCAGAAUGUACCAAUUUAAUAGAAACUUCUAAUUUAAUUAUUUUUCUGGCUGAGUGCUGCCCAGUUUGCAAAGGUCCUCCCUUUCAUGGCAUGCACAGAGCGCAUACUGGAAUAGGCUGCUGUCGGUAUUGGCUCCUCCAGGUUUCCUGUGGCUGCUUGUGGUUAGGCAGGGACCGUGUUUGCUCUUGGGGAACGAUGGAAUGUCCUUUGUUUCUGUCCUCUUUGACUGCACAAAGUGUCCUCGCAUGUCCAGGCAGAAUCCUGGGAUUACAGAGAGGUGUCUGUGCUCUACCUGUCUCCAGACCUGGGGCAGGCAGAGUGCUCCAGCCCCUCUGGGUGGGUUGAAGCCUCCCCAUGCCCGGCGGUGCCUGCUCGCCCCCAGCUCAUUCCCUGGGGCAGCAGAGGGACCCUGUGCUUGUGACUCACAGAGAAAAUCUCUGCAUCCACAUAAACCCUCAGCAAGUGGAUAAAAGCUGCUCUCUGUGCUGGAUAUUUGGUGUUCUGUGGCAAUUUUAUGCUGUUUCUCUUUGUUAACAUGUCUCUGUAAUAAUAAGAGUUCUCAAUUUGAUAUAUUUUAUUUUCUUUGUAUUAAGCCAAAAAGCUCCUUGCUGGUGCCUUUUUGCCUGGGGGGCCCUCCCAGCCCACAACUGUGUUCUGGGAGGAACAAAGGGCAGUGUGUCCAACUGUUCCUUCCACCAGAGCUGAGGGAAGGUGGGAAGCCAAUGCCUCAGGAUUGGCAGAAUGAAAAGAACCAGAGGCCUUGGAAUGGCAGAGGGAUUUGGGGUACGUUGCCGGUUCUUUCCCGGGGCGUGGCUCCAAGGAGAGGGCUGAGCACGACACUGGGACACCCUGACCCCGUUUCAGUGGGACUGGGACUCUCGAGGCUCUGUGAUGUGGGCACAGCACACGCAGCCUGGGCUGGCCCCGCUUGGAAUCACAGGGCUUUGCCCAGAUUAUAGCACCUGAGGGCAAAUCCUCUAGAAAAGGGUGAAAGGAUGUUCUUAGAUUGCUGCUACAGCUCUUUGGUUUUUUUAAUUGGAACGGAAUGCAUUGGGUAAGGAAAACAGACCCCCCCCAGUGUUCCGGUGCCACGAGGGCCAGAGCAGGUGACAGACGCUGCCAGGGCCAGCAGGAUCAGUGCAGGGUGCCCAGGGGACAGCUGAGUCUACAGUCCCUGUACAGGACUGAAGGCCAUUUACUUGUGUAACCAAAGAGAGGAGCCUGUCUGGCACUCAGGUAAAGACAAACCAAUGACACUGCGCUUGGGGUAAAUGAAAACUCUCCUUUUUGGCUCUGUCAGCCAUGCCUGGGUCUCAUGUGAGCCCUCGGCUCUGCCACAGGGCGGCCCCUCACGCUUGGUGUUCAGCUCUUUUUGUAAUCUGAAAAUUUGCUGUUGUUCUGAGUCCAAUAAAUGCAGAAUCUGGUUUGCUGGAGCUCUGCCCUCUGCCUGCAUUUGGCUUUUGUGUUGUUUUUGUGCGUGAAAUUGCUGUGGGUGUGACAGCUGUCAGCGAGUGAAGGCGCUGGGAAUCAGUGGGUCAUUUGUCAGUGGAUAAGGCUGUACAUUGGGUCGUUGUAGGCUUUUUUCACAGUCAGAUUUCGCUAUUAAUCACAUGUCUGAACUGGUAAUUCAGUUACAGAAUUGACUAAUCCUUUCAUAUAUUCCUCUUUGGGUCUUUUAAAAUAAAUUUCAUUUGAUUAAUGUAUUUCUCAAAACAAGAAGCUAAUAAAGGCCAGUGUCCUCCUC